This 402-nucleotide ribosomal RNA is filed under the name uncultured Butyrivibrio sp. Its description in RNAcentral is "bacterial SSU rRNA". It matches the Rfam family "Bacterial small subunit ribosomal RNA", at positions 338 to 743 of the family's 1533-position model. Lineage: Bacteria; Bacillati; Bacillota; Clostridia; Lachnospirales; Lachnospiraceae. The record is from RNAcentral.
CCUACGGGGGGCAGCAGUGGGGGAUAUUGCACAAUGGAGGAAACUCUGAUGCAGCGACGCCGCGUGAGUGAAGAAGUAUUUCGGUAUGUAAAGCUCUAUCAGCAGGGAAGAAAGACUCGAAAGAGAGAUGACGGUACCUGACUAAGAAGCUCCGGCUAAAUACGUGCCAGCAGCCGCGGUAAUACGUAUGGAGCAAGCGUUAUCCGGAUUUACUGGGUGUAAAGGGAGCGCAGACGGUUAUGCAAGUCUGAAGUGAAAAACCACGGCUCAACUGUGGUCUUGCUUUGGAAACUGUGUAACUAGAGUGUCGGAAGGGUAAGCGGAAUUCCUAGUGUAGCGGUGAAAUGCGUAGAUAUUAGGAAGAACACCGGAGGCGAAGGCGGCUUACUGGACGAUAACUGA